RNAcentral lists this long non-coding RNA (321 nucleotides) under Vigna radiata. RNAcentral describes it as "long non-coding RNA (VRAD_LNC017616)". Lineage: Eukaryota; Viridiplantae; Streptophyta; Magnoliopsida; Fabales; Fabaceae. The record is from RNAcentral.
AAAUAACGUUCCGAUCAACCUCGGACACAUGAUCAAAAGAUGGAACGAGAAUGCUAAUCUUAUCACGUGCCACCACUCCAAGGUAUGAUCGGAAGUCAUCUGCAUAGCGGCCAGUUGCCACACCCGUGGUGACAUUCACANUCACCGGAGUUNUUUCACCACUAUUUUUCCUUAUCAAUAGUUGUUUCAUCCUAGUGGGUCCUCUAGUGGAUCUGGUUGGGGGAGCCUCAUCCCCUGAAGAAUGUGGAUGAUCAACCAUAUAUCUGUCAAAAUAAAUAACAACAUUAAAUAUUAAUAAAAGACUUAUGUAAUAUCAUAUAA